RNAcentral lists this microRNA (23 nucleotides) under Echinococcus granulosus. RNAcentral's name for it is "egr-miR-10227e-3p". The record is from miRBase by way of RNAcentral. Lineage: Eukaryota; Metazoa; Platyhelminthes; Cestoda; Cyclophyllidea; Taeniidae.
AGUCGUAUAAUCAACGUGCCGCA